Molecule: ribosomal RNA, 98 nt
Filed under: Klebsiella pneumoniae
Lineage: Bacteria; Pseudomonadati; Pseudomonadota; Gammaproteobacteria; Enterobacterales; Enterobacteriaceae
Description: partial 16S ribosomal RNA
Rfam family: Bacterial small subunit ribosomal RNA (bases 1-88)
Source: RNAcentral
GAGGGCGCUUACCACUUUGUGAUUCAUGACUGGGGUGAAGUCGUAACAAGGUAACCGUAGGGGAGCCUGCGGUUGGAUCACCUCCUUACCUUAAAGAA